CAAAGAAUAAGAUAGUUGAAGUUAAGUGAGUUAUUUGUUAUAUCGACAUUUGGCUUUACCCUCAAACAAACAGUACCGUAGUGGCAGGGCCACUUUUGGGUAAUGGAUUAUGCUAAAGCAACUUUGAAACAAAAAAAUAAUGCUUUGGUUCCAAGAAGAAACCACUCUCAAGUAAAAAAAGAACAGGAAGCUCUACAUCAUUUUAUAAAAAAUAAUCCAAAUGACCGCAAUUCCAAUAGAGGGCCUGAAACAAGGCCUACCUGUAGAAAUCCUUCAAAAGCAUUUAAUACACCAUUUCCUCGUGAGGAGACAAAAUAUGGCUCCUCAAGACGUAUAUGUAAUAUACCAAUACUUUCGAAAAAGCUACAUUUUCUAAAUGUUAAAGAACUUACACAUGAAGACAAAGUGGAAAAAAUAAAACUUUACUUGGAUAAAUCUCAAUCUCCAUUUAUUUGGAGGCCCAAACA
Long non-coding RNA from Homalodisca vitripennis (glassy-winged sharpshooter), 467 nucleotides. RefSeq lists it as uncharacterized. The record is from RefSeq and is a predicted model, not a curated record. The transcript is spliced from 3 exons. Lineage: Eukaryota; Metazoa; Arthropoda; Insecta; Hemiptera; Cicadellidae.